CUCAGGAUGAACCUCGACAAAGACUGCUGCAUCCCUAUCCAGACCUUGCAAGCACACAGUCCAAGAUGGAUGGAUGACGUCUCAUCUGCUCCCAGCAUAAAGUGGGAUUGAGACUUCGGCUGUGCGUGAGGGAUCUGAUGGGAAGUAAAACAGACCCAGCCUAUUUAAUUUCUGCUGAUAACUCAAGUUCUCCAGUCCAGGGACACAAGAGAUUCUACAGAUGCUGGAAUUUGGAGCAACACACACACAAAAUGCUGGAGGAACUCAACAGUCUGUGAAUGUGCUGGGGGCAGCCUGCAAGUGUCGCCACGCUUCCAGUGCCAACAUAGCAAGCCCACAACUUCCUAACCCGUGCGCCUUUUGCAAUGGAGGAGGAAACUGGAACACCUGGAGGAAACCCAUGCAGUCACGGGGAGAACGUACAAAGUCCUUACAGACAGCGGCCGGAAUCGAACCCGGGUCGCUGGCUCUGUAAUAGCGUUACACUAACUGCUACACUACCGUGGCAGCCCACGUGUUGUUCCAGAUUCCAGCAUCUGCAGUCUGUUGUGUGUCCAUCAUUUUAAGCAGGUUGGGACAGCAACACAACCGCAUUAAAAUGCAAAAGUUACAGCUGAGCAGUUAAAAUCCACAGUCUAACCCGCACUCCUCAAAAGACAGGGCUUGUUAACUUAAUUUGCCUGAAUCAAUAUCUGUGUGGGGGCAUGAGUGCAAAGGGAUGAGAAAGAGGAGAUGAGGUAUUGACAUUUCUGACAGCAAAAAGCCUUUAAGUUGGAAAUGGUGAUAACGGUCUCCUUAUGUGGCUGGUUCCAAUGUUUGAUCCCACUUGUGUUGUGCUUUGGGACAUUAUAACACAUUAAAUAUGUUACAUGGUCAUUGUUACUGCUUCUGUAUCUUUUUCACCUGAAAUAACUCAUCCCUUAUCCAGCAACUACACAAGUCCUACACUGAUGAAACUGCCCUCUAUACCUACUCUCUCAGUCCCUCUUUGUUUACAUGUUUCAUGUUUCAAUAAGUCCUCUUUCACUUUUAUAACGUUCAUCGACUAUAGGCCAAUCUGAUAUAACCUUUCCUCACAUGGCAAUCCCUCAUCCUGGAGUCAACCCAUUGACCCUAAACAGCACCAACUGCAUGACCAGUAUGUCGCUCCUCAGUUGCGGAGAACAAACCUGCACGCAAUGGUCUCACCAGUCUCUGCAAGACCUUCUCAUGUGUGCACUCCAACCCUGUUGGAGUGAAGGCCUUCCUUCCUUAUUGCCUGCUGAACCUGUGUGUUUAUUUUCUGUCUCAUGAACCAGUACACCCAGAUCCCCCGUAGUUUCUCUCCCGUUAAAAAUAUUCUGUUUCUUGUUCAUCCUACCAAAGUGCAUAUUAUUAUUCUUCAUCAUCCUCUUGCUUGAUCUCUGCUGAUCCAUUUGUAUACUCGGUGCCCUCUUCACAGCUCAAUCUCCCACCUUUGUCAUGAGUAAACUUGGAUACAGAACACACUGUUCUUACCUCUUUUCCACUAAUAUGAACUGUCAGUAGCUCACAGCUCUGUGCUGGUCAAUGUGGCACCCAAUAUGGCAGUAAUAUUAGGUUUUGCUUUGCAUCACUUACACCUGUUCAUCAUGUUCAAAACUGUCAAAUCAAAGGCACUGGAGGCUGACACUUUGAGAUCUGGAAUUGACAGGAGGUUGCUAUCAGAAGGCCACUGCAGAGACAGGAGGAGAUUGUGAUAAAGGAAGGCUCUAUUUGAAGCAGGAGGGUAAGUAACACCCUGCCGUUUACUUGUACAUCAUCUGCUGGAGUUAAAUAUGACUCUGUCAACAUUCUGGUAACAGCUGUAAUAUAAAGCUGUCAGGAGGCACAAGAGACUGCAGAUGCUGGAAUCUGGAACAACACAAAAAGCUGGAGGAACUCAGCAGGUCAGAAUCAGAAUCAGGUUUAUUAUCACUGACUUAGAUGACGUGAAAUUUGUUGUUUUGCGGCAGCAGUACAGUGCAAAGACAUUAAAUUACUAUAAAUCACAAAAAUAAAUAAAUACUGCAAAUAAAAAAGGAAUAAUCGGGUAGUGUUCAUGGAUUCAUGGACCUUUCAGAAAUCUGAUAGUGGAGGGGAAGAAGCUGAGUUGGGAUCUUGGGACAGGAUGUGAUUUCGUUGAUCUGACUAGGUUUUGACCGAAGGGGCAAGUUUGGGUGAGGCUUUGGAAGUUAUGAAAGAUGAAUACAUUCCUACAGUGACAAAUUAACCCGUUAAGUUUCUAAACAGAGCCACAACAGAUUCAGAAUUAGAAUCAGAAUCAGAUUUAUUAUCACAGUCUUAGAUGACAUGAAGUGUGUUGUCUUGCAGCAGGAGCACUGCAUAAAGACAUAAAAUUACUAUAAAUUACAAAAUAAAUAAACAGUGCAAACAAAAAGGAAUAACGAGGUAGCAUUCAUGGGUUCACGGACCAUUCAGAAAUCUGAUGGUGGAGGGGAAGAAGCUGUUCCUGAAUCGUUGAGUGUGGGUCUUCAGGCUCCUAUACCACCACCCUGAUGGUAGUAAUGAGAAGAGGGCAUGUCCCGGAUGGUGAGGAUCCUUAGUGAUGGAUGCUAUCUUCUUGAGGCACCGCCUCUUGAAGAUGUCCUUGAUGGCAGGGAGGGUUGUGACCAUGAUGGAGCUGGCUGAGUCUACAACCCGCUGUAGACUCUUGCGAUCCUGUGUAUUGGAGGCUCCAUACCAGGCUGUGAUGCAACCAGUAAGAAUGCUCUCCACCGUACAUCUAUAGCAUCUGUAGAAGGAAAUGGAGAGUUGACGUUUAUGGUCGAGCCCCUUCAGGGUCUUGAACUGAAAUCUCAAUUGUCCAUUUCUCUCCAUAGGUGCUGUCCGACCUGCUGAGUUCCUCAGCAUUUUGUUUGUUAUAAAAUUGGUAGACUUUCUUUCUCAGAAUAACU
Molecule: long non-coding RNA, 2915 nt
Organism: Pristis pectinata (smalltooth sawfish)
Lineage: Eukaryota; Metazoa; Chordata; Chondrichthyes; Rhinopristiformes; Pristidae
Exons: 3
Source: RefSeq, a predicted model, not a curated record